This is a long non-coding RNA of Papaver somniferum (opium poppy), 281 nucleotides long. RefSeq lists it as uncharacterized. The record is from RefSeq and is a predicted model, not a curated record. NCBI's taxonomy places the organism in Eukaryota, Viridiplantae, Streptophyta, Magnoliopsida, Ranunculales, Papaveraceae. The transcript is spliced from 3 exons.
AUUGUCUCUGACUCUCCUCUCUCUGAGAAGGAGAAGAAAUUCUUCUCUGUUAACAAUUGUUGCUCAAAUCUUCGUUUCUUUAUCAAGGUUGUUGCUUUCUUCAUCAAGGUUGUUUCAAUCUUCAUCAGAGGUAGAACUAUAGAAGACCUUCAAGUGGAUUUAUCUUCAGGGAAUCAGGGAUUUCUACCUAUUUGAUUGUUGGUUUACUAAUGAAACAACUAGUUGAUUUCCUUCAUCUUAUCAUCGUCGUCUUGUUUGUGUUUUACUUCUACUUCAAAUGG